GACGAACGCUGGCGGCGCGCCUAACACAUGCGAGUCGAACGAGCGAGCGAGAGCUUGCUUUCUCAAGCGAGUGGCGAACGGGUGAGUAACGCGUGAGGAACCUGCCUCAAAGAGGGGGACAACAGUUGGAAACGACUGCUAAUACCGCAUAAGCCCACAGGUCGGCAUCGACCAGAGGGAAAAGGAGCAAUCCGCUUUGAGAUGGCCUCGCGUCCGAUUAGCUAGUUGGUGAGGUAACGGCCCACCAAGGCAACGAUCGGUAGCCGGACUGAGAGGUUGAACGGCCACAUUGGGACUGAGACACGGCCCAGACUCCUACGGGAGGCAGCAGUGGGGAAUAUUGCACAAUGGGGGAAACCCUGAUGCAGCGACGCCGCGUGGAGGAAGAAGGUCUUCGGAUUGUAAACUCCUGUUGUUGAGGAAGAUAAUGACGGUACUCAACAAGGAAGUGACGGCUAACUACGUG
This 466-nucleotide ribosomal RNA is filed under the name uncultured bacterium. Its description in RNAcentral is "partial 16S ribosomal RNA". It matches the Rfam family "Bacterial small subunit ribosomal RNA", at positions 28 to 507 of the family's 1533-position model. The record is from RNAcentral.